Molecule: ribosomal RNA, 800 nt
Filed under: Acinetobacter calcoaceticus
Lineage: Bacteria; Pseudomonadati; Pseudomonadota; Gammaproteobacteria; Moraxellales; Moraxellaceae
Description: bacterial SSU rRNA
Rfam family: Bacterial small subunit ribosomal RNA
Source: RNAcentral
GUCGAGCGGGGAAGGUAGCUUGCUACUGGACCUAGCGGCGGACGGGUGAGUAAUGCUUAGGAAUCUGCCUAUUAGUGGGGGACAACAUCUCGAAAGGGAUGCUAAUACCGCAUACGUCCUACGGGAGAAAGCAGGGGAUCUUCGGACCUUGCGCUAAUAGAUGAGCCUAAGUCGGAUUAGCUAGUUGGUGGGGUAAAGGCCUACCAAGGCGACGAUCUGUAGCGGGUCUGAGAGGAUGAUCCGCCACACUGGGACUGAGACACGGCCCAGACUCCUACGGGAGGCAGCAGUGGGGAAUAUUGGACAAUGGGCGCAAGCCUGAUCCAGCCAUGCCGCGUGUGUGAAGAAGGCCUUAUGGUUGUAAAGCACUUUAAGCGAGGAGGAGGCUACUUUAGAUAAUACCUAGAGAUAGUGGACGUUACUCGCAGAAUAAGCACCGGCUAACUCUGUGCCAGCAGCCGCGGUAAUACAGAGGGUGCAAGCGUUAAUCGGAUUUACUGGGCGUAAAGCGCGCGUAGGCGGCUAAUUAAGUCAAAUGUGAAAUCCCCGAGCUUAACUUGGGAAUUGCAUUCGAUACUGGUUAGCUAGAGUGUGGGAGAGGAUGGUAGAAUUCCAGGUGUAGCGGUGAAAUGCGUAGAGAUCUGGAGGAAUACCGAUGGCGAAGGCAGCCAUCUGGCCUAACACUGACGCUGAGGUGCGAAAGCAUGGGGAGCAAACAGGAUUAGAUACCCUGGUAGUCCAUGCCGUAAACGAUGUCUACUAGCCGUUGGGGCCUUUGAGGCUUUAGUGGCGCAGCUAAC